RNAcentral lists this ribosomal RNA (775 nucleotides) under uncultured Neocallimastigales. Its description in RNAcentral is "partial large subunit ribosomal RNA". It matches the Rfam family "Eukaryotic large subunit ribosomal RNA", at positions 23 to 616 of the family's 3401-position model. The record is from RNAcentral. Lineage: Eukaryota; Fungi; Neocallimastigomycota; Neocallimastigomycetes; Neocallimastigales.
AGAGAGAGACAUGCGCGCAUAUCAAUAAGCGGAGGAAAAGAAACUAACAAGGAUUCCCCUAGUAACGGCGAGUGAAGCGGGAAGAGCUCAAAUUUGAAAUCUUAAAGGGUUUCCCUUUACGAAUUGUAGUUUAAAGAAGUGUUUUCUGUUGAGGUUUUGGUAAAAGUUCUUUGGAAUAGGACAUCAUAGAGGGUGAGAAUCCCGUAUUUGACCUUUACUUUCAACUUUGUGAUACACUUUCAAAGAGUCGGAUUGUUUGGGAAUGCAGUCCAAAAUGGGUGGUAAAUUUCAUCUAAAGCCUAAAUAUUGGCGAGAGACCGAUAGCGAACAAGUACCGUGAGGGAAAGAUGAAAAGAACUUUGAAAAGAGAGUUAAACAGUACGUGAAAUUGUCAAAAGGGAAGCGUUUGACACCAGUGUUGUUUUUCUGAAAAUCAAUUAAAGAACUGUUUAUGCUAAGCUGUUUAGACUUUAUCAGCUAUCUGUUUAGUUUUGAGCUUUUCUUUAAUGCACUUUUCAGUUAACAAGUCAACAUCAAUUUCUUUUGCUGUAAAAAAGCUUGAGGAAGGUGGCUUGAGAUUCGUCUUAAGUGUUUAUAGCCUCUUGCCUAUGCAGUCGGAGAGAUUGAGGUCUGCAGCGUAGAUCCUUCGGGGCUAAGUGCAUUUGUGCUAAGUUAUAGCAUUUUAUAGACAACUUGUUGACUAUGAUUUGUCUUGUAGCUUACUCGCUUAUGUUAUUUUACCUACGCUUAGGAUGUUGAGCGCAUGUCUCUCUCU